GUAAACCCAAGGUUUCCAGGGGAAGGUUCGUCCGCCCUGGGUUAGUCGGGACCUAAGCUGAGGCCGAAAGGCGUAGGUGAUGGACAACAGGUUGAUAUUCCUGUACUACCGAUAACCGUUUGAGAGAAGGGAUGACACAGUAGGAUAAGCUAAGCACACUGUUGGUUAUGUGUGCCCAAGCAUUGAGGCAGUCAAAGUAGGCAAAUCCGCUUUGAUAAUGCUGGGAUGUGAUGGGGAGCGAAAUUUAGUAGCGAAGUAGCUGAUUUCACACUGUCAAGAAAAGUCUCUAUCGAGGUUAAAGGUACCCGUACCGCAAACCGACACAGGUGGGUGAGGAGAGUAUCCUAAGGCCAGCGAGAGAACUGUUGUUAAGGAACUCGGCAAAAUGACCCCGUAACUUAGGGAUAAGGGGUGCCACCAUCAGGUGGCCGCAGAGAAUAGGCCCAAGCGACUGUUUACCAAAAACAUAGGUUUCUGCUAAGUCGCAAGACGAUGUAUAGGAGCUGACGCCUGCCCGGUGCUGGAAGGUUAAGGGGAUCUGUUAGAGCAAUCGAAGCAGUGAACUUAAGCCCCAGUAAACGGCGGCCGUAACUAUAACGGUCCUAAGGUAGCGAAAUUCCUUGUCGGGU
RNAcentral lists this ribosomal RNA (629 nucleotides) under Clostridioides difficile. RNAcentral describes it as "partial 23S ribosomal RNA". It matches the Rfam family "Bacterial large subunit ribosomal RNA", at positions 1339 to 1977 of the family's 2925-position model. The record is from RNAcentral. Lineage: Bacteria; Bacillati; Bacillota; Clostridia; Peptostreptococcales; Peptostreptococcaceae.